RNAcentral lists this ribosomal RNA (349 nucleotides) under Plethodontohyla alluaudi (Fort Dauphin digging frog). RNAcentral's name for it is "partial 12S ribosomal RNA". It matches the Rfam family "Bacterial small subunit ribosomal RNA", at positions 875 to 1384 of the family's 1533-position model. The record is from RNAcentral. Lineage: Eukaryota; Metazoa; Chordata; Amphibia; Anura; Microhylidae.
UUAAGACCGCAGGGAAUUACGAGCCCACCUUAAAACCCAAAGGACUUGACGGUGUCCCACCCACCUAGAGGAGCCUGUCCUAUAAUCGACACCCCCCGGUAUACCUCACCACCCCUAGCACACCCAGUCUGUAUACCUCCGUCGCAAGCUUACCAUGUGAACGCCACUAGUGAGCUUAAAGAUCUUACAUCAACACGUCAGGUCAAGGUGCAACUAACGGAGUGGAAAGCAAUGGGCUACAAUCUCUACCAUAGAACACACGAAAAGCUGCAUGAAACACAGUCAUGAAGGAGGAUUUAGUAGUAAAAAGGAAAUAGAGCGUCCUUUUUAAUUAGGCGCUGGGACGCGU